RNAcentral lists this ribosomal RNA (436 nucleotides) under uncultured Ascomycota. RNAcentral's name for it is "SSU rRNA". It matches the Rfam family "Eukaryotic small subunit ribosomal RNA", at positions 321 to 760 of the family's 1831-position model. Lineage: Eukaryota; Fungi; Ascomycota. The record is from RNAcentral.
UUCGAUGGUAGGAUAGAGGCCUACCAUGGUAUCAACGGGUAACGGGGAAUUAGGGUUCGACUCCGGAGAGGGAGCCUGAGAAACGGCUACCACAUCCAAGGAAGGCAGCAGGCGCGCAAAUUACCCAAUCCCGACACGGGGAGGUAGUGACAAUAAAUACUGAUACAGGGCUCUUUUGGGUCUUGUAAUUGGAAUGAGUACAAUUUAAAUCCCUUAACGAGGAACAAUUGGAGGGCAAGUCUGGUGCCAGCAGCCGCGGUAAUUCCAGCUCCAAUAGCGUAUAUUAAAGUUGUUGCAGUUAAAAAGCUCGUAGUUGAACCUUGGGCCUGGCUGGCCGGUCCGCCUCACCGCGUGUACUGGUCCGGCCGGGCCUUUCCUUCUGGGGAACCUCAUGCCCUUCACUGGGCGUGUUGGGGAACCAGGACUUUUACUUUGA